AGUAAAGUUAAUACCUUUACUCAUUGACGUUACCCGCAGAAGAAGCACCGGCUAACUCCGUGCCAGCAGCCGCGGUAAUACGGAGGGUGCAAGCGUUAAUCGGAAUUACUGGGCGUAAAGCGCACGCAGGCGGUUUGUUAAGUCAGAUGUGAAAUCCCCGGGCUCAACCUGGGAACUGCAUCUGAUACUGGCAAGCUUGAGUCUCGUAGAGGGGGGUAGAAUUCCAGGUGUAGCGGUGAAAUGCGUAGAGAUCUGGAGGAAUACCGGUGGCGAAGGCGGCCCCCUGGACGAAGACUGACGCUCAGGUGCGAAAGCGUGGGGAGCAAACAGGAUU
Molecule: ribosomal RNA, 334 nt
Filed under: Shigella flexneri
Lineage: Bacteria; Pseudomonadati; Pseudomonadota; Gammaproteobacteria; Enterobacterales; Enterobacteriaceae
Description: bacterial SSU rRNA
Rfam family: Bacterial small subunit ribosomal RNA
Source: RNAcentral